RNAcentral lists this ribosomal RNA (257 nucleotides) under uncultured bacterium. Its description in RNAcentral is "partial 16S ribosomal RNA". It matches the Rfam family "Bacterial small subunit ribosomal RNA", at positions 524 to 776 of the family's 1533-position model. The record is from RNAcentral.
UACGUAGGGGGCGAGCGUUGUCCGGAAUCAUUGGGCGUAAAGCGCGUGUAGGCGGCUUGGUAAGUCCGGUGUGAAACCUUGGGGCUCAACCCCAAGCCUGCACUGGAUACUGCCUCGCUUGAGUCCGGGAGGGGAGAGCGGAAUUCCUAGUGUAGCGGUGAAAUGCGCAGAUAUUAGGAAGAACACCGGUGGCGAAGGCGGCUCUCUGGAACGGUACUGACGCUGAGACGCGAAAAGCGUGGGGGAAGCGAAACAGG